UCCCAUCGUCAUAUCUGCUCCUGAGUCUGACCCUCCCCCUUCCUGUGAGGAUGCUUGGGAUUAUAUUGGGCUCCAGAUGAUCCCCAUCUCAAGCAUAUACGUUCCUCAAGGCGGCAGGUUUACCUCGCAGAACGCAGUAGCCUGAGGUUCUGGAUUGCAGACUGCCUGGGUGUCAGUCACUGCCCUGGCCGGCUGGGGGCCUUGGGCACGUCACCUCCCCUUCCUGCACCUUGACUUCCCUCGCCUCUGCUCUCCCUUCUCCUCUCUGACCAGCGGCUUCUGCUGCUUUUCAGCCUCUGCUCCCACCACCAACUGCUUCCCUCGGUCUCUGUGCCAUAUUUUCAUUGCAGAGGCCAGACCCUCUGCAGCCUUCAGCAACAUUGAUGUCGUGAAAGGGAAAGAGGUGGAGGGACUGGUCCAGAAGAAAGGAGACUAAAGAGACAUGACAACCGAGUGGAAUAUGGGAUCCUGGGCUGGAGGGAAACAGUGCUGCAAAGAACAUUAGUGACAAACUGGCUAUGGAUGGGAGAGCAGUUAAAAUACUGUGUCGAUGUUAAUUUCCCUCAUUUGCUAAUUGUGCUGUAGUUGUGUAAGACAAUGACCUUUGAUCUUAGCAAAAACACACUGAAGUAUGAAGGGGUAAAGGGGCAU
Molecule: long non-coding RNA, 651 nt
Filed under: Equus caballus (horse)
Lineage: Eukaryota; Metazoa; Chordata; Mammalia; Perissodactyla; Equidae
Description: lncRNA (ENSECAG00000049191.1)
Source: RNAcentral